Molecule: ribosomal RNA, 403 nt
Filed under: bacterium
Lineage: Bacteria
Description: partial 16S ribosomal RNA
Rfam family: Bacterial small subunit ribosomal RNA
Source: RNAcentral
UGGGGAAUAUUGCACAAUGGGGGAAACCCUGAUGCAGCGACGCCGCGUGAACGAAGAAGGUAUUCGUAUCGUAAAGUUCUGUCCUAUGGGAAGAUAAUGACAGUACCAUAGAAGAAAGCUCCGGCUAAAUACGUGCCAGCAGCCGCGGUAAUACGUAUGGAGCGAGCGUUGUCCGGACUUAUUGGGCGUAAAGGGUACGCAGGCGGUUUAAUAAGUCGAAUGUUAAAGAUCGGGGCUCAACCCCGCAAAGCAUUGGAAACUGAUAAACUUGAGUAGGGGAGAGGAAAGUGGAAUUCCUAGUGUAGUGGUGAAAUACGUAGAUAUUAGGAGGAAUACCAGUAGCGAAGGCGACUUUCUGGACACAAACUGACGCUGAGGUACGAAAGCGUGGGGAGCAAACAGG